This 301-nucleotide ribosomal RNA is filed under the name uncultured bacterium. Its description in RNAcentral is "partial 16S ribosomal RNA". It matches the Rfam family "Bacterial small subunit ribosomal RNA", at positions 509 to 808 of the family's 1533-position model. The record is from RNAcentral.
CAGUCGCCGCGGUAAUACGAAGGGUGCAAGCGUUACUCGGAAUUACUGGGCGUAAAGCGUGCGUAGGUGGUGGUUUAAGUCCGUUGUGAAAGCCCUGGGCUCAACCUGGGAAUUGCAGUGGAUACUGGGUCACUAGAGUGUGGUAGAGGAUAGUGGAAUUUCCGGUGUAGCAGUGAAAUGCGUAGAGAUCGGAAGGAACAUCUGUGGCGAAGGCGACUAUCUGGGCCAACACUGACACUGAGGCACGAAAGCGUGGGGAGCAAACAGGAUUAGAUACCCCAGUAGUCCCUGUCUCUUUACA